GACGAACGCUGGCGGCGUGCUUAACACAUGCAAGUCGAACGGAAAGGCCCUGCUUUUGUGGGGUGCUCGAGUGGCGAACGGGGGAGUAACACGUGAGUAACCUGCCCUUGACUUUGGGAUAACUUCAGGAAACUGGGGCUAAUACCGGAUAGGAGCUCCUGCUGCAUGGUGGGGGUGGGAAAGUUUCGGCGGUUGGGGAUGGAUUAGCGGCUUAUGAGCUUGUUGGUGGGGUAGUGGUUUACCAAGGCUUGGACGGGUAGCCGGCCUGGGAGGGUGACCGGGGUCCAGAGUACUGAGGGACGGCCCAGACGGGUACGGGGGGCAGCGGUGGGGAGUAUGGCACAAUGGGCGGGAGCCUGAUGCGAAGACGCCGCGUGCGGGAUGACGGCCUUCGGGUUGUGAACCGCUGUCGCCUGUGACGAAGCGUGAGUGACGGUAAUGGGUAAAGAAGCACCGGCUAACUACGUG
Molecule: ribosomal RNA, 468 nt
Filed under: uncultured bacterium
Lineage: Bacteria
Description: partial 16S ribosomal RNA
Rfam family: Bacterial small subunit ribosomal RNA
Source: RNAcentral